UACGGAGGAUGCAAGCGUUAUCCGGAAUGAUUGGGCGUAAAGGGUCCGCAGGUGGCUGUGUAAGUCUGCUGUUAAAGAGUCAUGCUCAACAUGAUCAAGGCAGUGGAAACUACAAGGCUAGAGUGCGUUCGGGGCAGAGGGAAUUCCUGGUGUAGCGGUGAAAUGCGUAGAUAUCAGGAAGAACACCGGUGGCGAAAGCGCUCUGCUAGGCCGCAACUGACACUGAGGGACGAAAGCUAGGGGAGCGAAUGGG
Molecule: ribosomal RNA, 253 nt
Filed under: uncultured prokaryote
Description: partial 16S ribosomal RNA
Rfam family: Bacterial small subunit ribosomal RNA
Source: RNAcentral